This 335-nucleotide ribosomal RNA is filed under the name uncultured bacterium. Its description in RNAcentral is "bacterial SSU rRNA". It matches the Rfam family "Bacterial small subunit ribosomal RNA", at positions 28 to 353 of the family's 1533-position model. The record is from RNAcentral.
GACGAACGCUGGCGGCGUGCCUAAUACAUGCAAGUCGAACGGUCUUUUCUAUGGAAGCUUGCUUCCGCUGAGAAGAUAGUGGCGAACGGGUGAGUAACACGUGGGUAACCUGCCCAUAAGAGGGGGAUAACAUCCGGAAACGACUGCUAAUACCGCAUAAGCUGAGUAAUCAGUAAAGGAGGCCUCUGAAAAUGCUUCCGCUUAUGGAUGGGCCCNCGUCUGAUUAGCUGGUUGGUGGGGUAAAGCCUACCAAGGCGACGAUCAGUAGCCGGCCUGAGAGGGUGAACGGCCACACUGGGACUGAGACACGGCCCAGACUCCGUACGGGAGCAGCA